RNAcentral lists this ribosomal RNA (292 nucleotides) under uncultured bacterium. RNAcentral describes it as "partial 16S ribosomal RNA". It matches the Rfam family "Bacterial small subunit ribosomal RNA", at positions 505 to 796 of the family's 1533-position model. The record is from RNAcentral.
GUGCCAGCCGCCGCGGUAAUACGUAGGGGGCAAGCGUUAUCCGGAUUUACUGGGUGUAAAGGGAGCGUAGACGGCAUGGUAAGUCAGAUGUGAAAGCCCGGGGCUCAACCCCGGGACUGCAUUUGAAACUGCCAGGCUAGAGUGCAGGAGAGGUAAGUGGAAUUCCUAGUGUAGCGGUGAAAUGCGUAGAUAUUAGGAGGAACACCAGCGGCGAAGGCGGCUUACUGGACUGUAACUGACGUUGAGGCUCGAAAGCGUGGGGAGCAAACAGGAUUAGAAACCCCCGUAGUCC